Long non-coding RNA from Ctenopharyngodon idella (grass carp), 309 nucleotides. RefSeq lists it as uncharacterized. Lineage: Eukaryota; Metazoa; Chordata; Actinopteri; Cypriniformes; Xenocyprididae. The record is from RefSeq and is a predicted model, not a curated record. The transcript is spliced from 3 exons.
UGCAAUUAAACAUUUAAAAGAUCGAGCUAAUUGACAAUCGGAUGCCAAAAAACAUUCCCUCAUGUAGCCUACAAAGAAAACAUUGUGUUUAUGGUAAAAUCGAAGGAAAACUGCCCAAAUCAGGGAGCUCUUCAUAUUUUUCCCUCACUGUUGGCCCCGUUUUGCUUUCGAUUAAGGUGGCCUGUGGGAUCAGGUUAUUUGCUCACUGAUGGAGGACGAUAAAGCAGGUCCAGCAGUACAAAGAGUCACGGAUGCGACAAAUGGGGGCUGGCGUCACCUUCACCUCCCCCUCCACAUGGCCUUGAGAUC